This 253-nucleotide ribosomal RNA is filed under the name uncultured bacterium. RNAcentral describes it as "partial 16S ribosomal RNA". It matches the Rfam family "Bacterial small subunit ribosomal RNA", at positions 524 to 776 of the family's 1533-position model. The record is from RNAcentral.
GACGAACCGAGCGACCGUUGUUCGGAAUCACUGGGCUUAAAGGGCGCGUAGGCGGGCUGCCAAGUCCGUGGUGAAAUCCCCCGGCUCAACCGGGGAAGGGCCUCGGAUACUGGCGGCCUCGAGGGGGGUAGGGGCGUGCGGAACUGUGGGUGGAGCGGUGAAAUGCGUUGAUAUCCACAGGAACUCCGGUGGCGAAGGCGGCACGCUGGACCCCAUCUGACGCUGAGGCGCGAAAGCCAGGGGAGCGAACGGG